UUAAGUUCAGCGGGUAUCCCUACUUGAUCCGAGGCCAAACUAAGAUGGGGGGUUAAGGGCUUGGAGUGGCCAUUGCUGGACUUAGUACCAAAUGCGCCGGCAAAGUUCAGUAGCGAGGAGAAAUUACUACGCGUAGAACCUACCGGAACCGCCCGUGGACUUAAAGGCUGCAGCUGACGCCGCAACCCCAAAAUCAGGCC
RNAcentral lists this unclassified non-coding RNA (200 nucleotides) under Leotiomycetes sp. RNAcentral describes it as "partial internal transcribed spacer 2". Lineage: Eukaryota; Fungi; Ascomycota; Leotiomycetes. The record is from RNAcentral.